GAUGAACGCUGGCGGCGUGCCUAAUACAUGCAAGUCGAGCGAACGGACGAGAAGCUUGCUUUUCUGAUGUUAGCGGCGGACGGGUGAGUAAUACGUGGAUAACCUACCUAUAAGACUGGGAUAACUUCGGGAAACCGGAUCUAAUACCGGAUAAUAUUUUGAACCGCAUGGUUCAAAAGUGAAAGACGGUCUUGCUGUCACUUAUAGAUGGAUCCGCGCUGCAUUAGCUAGUUGGUAAGGUAACGGCUUACCAAGGCAACGAUGCAUAGCCGACCUGAGAGGGUGAUCGGUCACACUGGAACUGAGACACGGUCCAGACUCCUACGGGAGGCAGCAGUAGGGAAUCUUGCGCAAUGGGCGAAAGCCUGACGGAGCAACGCCGCGUGAGUGAUGAAGGUCUUCGGAUCGUAAAACUCUGUUAUUAGGGAAGAACAUAUGUGUAAGUAACUGUGCACAUCUUGACGGUACCUAAUCAGAAAGCCACGGCUAACUACGUG
RNAcentral lists this ribosomal RNA (497 nucleotides) under uncultured bacterium. RNAcentral describes it as "partial 16S ribosomal RNA". It matches the Rfam family "Bacterial small subunit ribosomal RNA", at positions 28 to 507 of the family's 1533-position model. The record is from RNAcentral.